Salvelinus namaycush (lake trout) is the source of this 3222-nucleotide long non-coding RNA. RefSeq lists it as uncharacterized. NCBI's taxonomy places the organism in Eukaryota, Metazoa, Chordata, Actinopteri, Salmoniformes, Salmonidae. The transcript has 2 exons. The record is from RefSeq and is a predicted model, not a curated record.
GUGCCUUUGAACGGGGUAUGGUAGUAGGCGCCAGGCGCACCAGUUUAAGUGUGUGAAGAACUGCAACGCUGCUGGGUUUUUCAACAGUUUCUCGUGUGUAUUAACAAUGGUCCACCAUGGACAUUCAGCCAACUUGACACAACUGUGGGAAACAUUGGAGUCAACAUGGGUCAGCAUCCCUGUGGAACGCUUUCGUCACCUUGUAGAGUCCAUUCCCUGAUGAACUGAGGCUGUUCUGAGGACAAUAGGGAGGUGCAACUCAACAGUAGGAAGGUGUUCCUAAUGGUUUGUCCACGCAGCUGCCUUACUGACAUCUGCUUUGGUAAGACUGAAAGAGACAUGAUUUAUAUUGAAAAAUGUACUUUGUUUCUGAAUCCAUAUUGUUAAUCGUAGUAGAAUGUGUGGGUUGGCAUGGUGAUAAUAUAUGUACACAUAUUAGACGUAUGUUCCUCUGGACUGGAGGUUCCCAGAAGUUGCUUUGUCAAACACCGAACCUUACAGCAACGUUUUUAAAAUGAUGUAGAGUUCAUGCUAAGCCAACCAUGAGGCCUUUGUCAAUAUAUACAGACAGACUUACUUCCAUGUACUCGUUUAUAUCAUCUGUUCGCUUAUUCGCCUCCCAAAACGUAGUGAAUAUGGUUCUUGAUGUGUUUAACAUUGACACGUCUUCUGAGAGGAAGAUUGUAAAGGAGUUGAUGUAGUCAUUGAUUAUGUUGCAUGAGGAAACUCUUAGCCUUCAAGUGAUUUAUCAGAAACAGUAAUGCUGGAUGACUGUUCCUACCUGAAGAUUUCUGUAUACAGAUUUGUAUAUUUCAGCAGUUUGUACUGUGUAUAUAUAUUUGAUACCGUCUUUGACAACCAAUUAUGUUUUGAAAUCUUUUAAAGAACCUGAAUUUCAUGACUCCUCUUUGUAUUGCUUACUGUGAUAGGAGUAUCAGUAUCCAUCUCCUCUCUGUUCAGGAGUCUCUCCCAGUCCUGACGGUCGUCUAUGGGAGGAUCUCAAUGGCAUUUCCUUGAUUUGUAGCAUCCUCGCUUCUUUCUCAACACCCAUUGGAUAAAAUGGUCAGAUGGGGAGGGAACUCUUACCUUCUCAUCCAAUGGGUUUUGAGAAGGAGGCGAGAAGAGACGAUGCGAAGAAUCAAGGGAAAGCAAUUGAGGUUCUCUCCAUGUCUCAUCUGGCCGGGGCCAGUCUGUUCACAGUUCCACAUAUCCUGUGGCUAGAAAUGUAACAAAAUGAACCAUAAUGUCCCUCAGUAUGUUCCCUAUUUUACACUGACACAAAUGGACAACUAUAUACCUUUUUUUGUUUUCCAAUACAAUGAAUACCGCUCAUUCAAAGGCUUGAUGUAACAGUGAGACAACGGAACACUUUCAGGUUAGUUAUUUACCGAUGCGACAAUGAAUCUGUUGGCUCUCAGCUGAUGUGCUAUUCUCUCCGGUCUCUCUUGUUGUAAGUGAUUUGGAGUCGUUCCUAGAAAUAGAGGCUGCUUCCCAAAUGGCACCCUAUUCCCUACAUAGUGCACUAGUGCCUAGUGCUCUGGUCAAAAGUAGUGCACUAUAUAGUGAAUAGGGUGCCAAUCAGUGUCUGAGAUUCAGCAUCUGAAUAGGACCGUCUGAAUGAAACAGUAUCACUAGUCUGUUCAGGGUUCAUAGCGUUUGUAGCAAAAAUCAGCGUGAGGAUUUUCAUAUCCUUGUCCCAUAGGAAAUGACCUCAGUUGCUAUGUCACUUUCUAGGCUACAGCCUGAGGCCCCUAACUCUGCAUGCCUGCCCUCCUGUCACCCAGAAAUGUGAAACCAAAAUACAAGGAUUCUGUUGGCCUCGCCUUGAAGAAUAAAAUGAGAUCAGAUAUCAAAAACUUUUCUAAAUACUUCAUUUUCUCUGGGUUAAGUUGUUCUUUGCGAUGAGAGCUAUAGGUGCUAUCGUGGUUUUGUAACAAACUACUUGUGAGUUAUGGAUAUAUGUGCUAGUGAAUUGGCAGCGCAUGUUUGAAAGCCUGCAAAUUGUGAAAAAAAUAGCACUUCACACCACCAGAUGGCUCAUAGCAAGCGCCAGUAUUAUUAAUAUAGCUAAGACUACCAGCUGUUGUAAGCCGUCUGAAACAACGCAUAGCUGAACACUGCAGCUCAAUCAGGUGGAAGAACACUGAAUAUCCAUCCAGUAGCAGCUCAAUCAGGUGUCAGAACACUGAAUAUCCAUCCAGUAGCAGCUCAAUCAGGUGUCAGAACACUGAAUAUCCAUCCAGUAGCAGCUCAAUCAGGUGUCAGAACACUGAAUAUCCAUCCAGUAGCAGAUCAAUCAGGUGUCAGAACACUGAAUAUCCAUCCAGUAGCAGCUCAAUCAGGUGUCAGAACACUGAAUAUCCAUCCAGUAGCAGCUCAAUCAGGUGUCAGAACACUGAAUAUCCAUCCAGUAGCAGCUCACUCAGGUGUAAGAACACUGAAUAUCCAUCCAGUAGCAGCUCACUUUGUGGAAGCGAACCAUCCCAUCUCCUCCCUCAAAUACACAGGCGUUGAGCAUGUUGCUCUACCAAGGAGAGGAGGUAACAUGGAGGUCCUACUACUACAGAGGGAGGCCUACUGGAUAUCCUGUCUAAAAACAUUGACCCCUAGUGGUCUGAUUAUUGACUUAGCUCUCAGACACUUCUUAUGAACACGUAUUAAAAAAAUCGGUAUAUUCUUUCUACAGGUUAUCAGCGUACACCCAAUAUGUUCCCCCUGUUGAUGAUGCUUAUUAUGCAUUAGGGUUGAACCAAAAGAUUAUUGGAAACAAUUAUUUAUUUUUAUAUAUAUAUAUAUAUAUAUAUAUAUAUAUAUACACACAUGUAUAUAUAUAUGUGGAAUUACAUUAAACAAUGUAUGUUGAUGCAAUUAUUUCUGUACAACAUCUAAUUAUGUUUCCAUGUGAUAACAGUAGCCUAAUAUAUUCAAUAUGCUGAAAACUAUUGUUUUUUUUAACAGUUUUACUCAAUUCAUUCUAAUCAACCUAAUAGUUAUGGCAUGCCCCUCACUGUUGUCAUUGGUUGCUCUAAUAGUUAUGGCACGCCCCUCACUGUUGUCAUUGGUUGCUCUAAUAGUUAUGACACGCCCCUCACUGUUGUCAUUGGUUGCUCUAAUUGCCUUGUUUGUCUUCAUAACCUGGUUCCAGCAUUCAUGACAUCACCCUGAAGAAGACACAGUGAUGCUGAAAUGUUGCUGUUUUACCCAAUAAAUUACUGGGACUUA